This 493-nucleotide ribosomal RNA is filed under the name Bacteroidetes bacterium Jbg20. Its description in RNAcentral is "bacterial SSU rRNA". It matches the Rfam family "Bacterial small subunit ribosomal RNA", at positions 370 to 865 of the family's 1533-position model. Lineage: Bacteria; Pseudomonadati; Bacteroidota. The record is from RNAcentral.
AAUGGGCGCAAGCCUGAUCCAGCCAUGCCGCGUGCAGGAUGACGGUCCUAUGGAUUGUAAACUGCUUUUAUACGAGAAGAAACACUCCAACGUGUUGGAGCUUGACGGUAUCGUAAGAAUAAGGAUCGGCUAACUCCGUGCCAGCAGCCGCGGUAAUACGGAGGAUCCAAGCGUUAUCCGGAAUCAUUGGGUUUAAAGGGUCCGUAGGCGGUUUAAUAAGUCAGUGGUGAAAGCCCAUCGCUCAACGGUGGAACGGCCAUUGAUACUGUUAAACUUGAAUUAUUAGGAAGUAACUAGAAUAUGUAGUGUAGCGGUGAAAUGCUUAGAGAUUACAUGGAAUACCAAUUGCGAAGGCAGGUUACUACUAAUGGAUUGACGCUGAUGGACGAAAGCGUGGGUAGCGAACAGGAUUAGAUACCCUGGUAGUCCACGCCGUAAACGAUGGAUACUAGCUGUUGGAAGCAAUUUCAGUGGCUAAGCGAAAGUGAUAAGU